Molecule: ribosomal RNA, 656 nt
Filed under: Salmonella enterica
Lineage: Bacteria; Pseudomonadati; Pseudomonadota; Gammaproteobacteria; Enterobacterales; Enterobacteriaceae
Description: partial 23S ribosomal RNA
Rfam family: Bacterial large subunit ribosomal RNA
Source: RNAcentral
AAUGGGUCAGCGACUUAUAUUCUGUAGCAAGGUUAACCGAAUAGGGGAGCCGCAGGGAAACCGAGUCUUAAUUGGGCGUUAAGUUGCAGGGUAUAGACCCGAAACCCGGUGAUCUAGCCAUGGGCAGGUUGAAGGUUGGGUAACACUAACUGGAGGACCGAACCGACUAAUGUUGAAAAAUUAGCGGAUGACCUGUGGCUGGGGGUGAAAGGCCAAUCAAACCGGGAGAUAGCUGGUUCUCCCCGAAAGCUAUUUAGGUAGCGCCUCGUGAAUUCAUCUCCGGGGGUAGAGCACUGUUUCGGCUAGGGGGCCAUCCCGGCUUACCAACCCGAUGCAAACUGCGAAUACCGGAGAAUGUUAUCACGGGAGACACACGGCGGGUGCUAACGUCCGUCGUGAAGAGGGAAACAACCCAGACCGCCAGCUAAGGUCCCAAAGUCAUGGUUAAGUGGGAAACGAUGUGGGAAGGCCCAGACAGCCAGGAUGUUGGCUUAGAAGCAGCCAUCAUUUAAAGAAAGCGUAAUAGCUCACUGGUCGAGUCGGCCUGCGCGGAAGAUGUAACGGGGCUAAACCAUGCACCGAAGCUGCGGCAGCGACGCUGAUGCGUUGUUGGGUAGGGGAGCGUUCUGUAAGCCUGUGAAGGUGUGUCGUGAGGC